UGGGGAAUAUUGCACAAUGGGCGCAAGCCUGAUGCAGCGACGCCGCGUGGGGGAUGACGGCCUUCGGGUUGUAAACUCCUUUCGCCAGGGACGAAGCGUUUUGUGACGGUACCUGGAGAAGAAGCACCGGCUAACUACGUGCCAGCAGCCGCGGUAAUACGUAGGGUGCAAGCGUUGUCCGGAAUUACUGGGCGUAAAGGGCUCGUAGGUGGUUUGUCACGUCGUCUGUGAAAUUCCACAGCUUAACUGUGGGCGUGCAGGCGAUACGGGCUGACUUGAGUACUGUAGGGGUAACUGGAAUUCCUGGUGUAGCGGUGAAAUGCGCAGAUAUCAGGAGGAACACCGAUGGCGAAGGCAGGUUACUGGGCAGUUACUGACGCUGAGGAGCGAAAGCAUGGGUAGCAAACAGGAUUAGAUACCCUGGUAGUCCAUGCCGUAAACGGUGGGCGCUAGGUGUAGGGGCCUUUUGGGGUUUCUGUGCCGUAGCUAACGCAUUAAGCGCCCCGCCUGGGGAGUACGGCCGCAAGGCUA
This 531-nucleotide ribosomal RNA is filed under the name uncultured bacterium. RNAcentral's name for it is "bacterial SSU rRNA". It matches the Rfam family "Bacterial small subunit ribosomal RNA", at positions 355 to 896 of the family's 1533-position model. The record is from RNAcentral.